CCUACGGGAGGCAGCAGUGAGGAAUAUUGGUCAAUGGACGAGAGUCUGAACCAGCCAAGUAGCGUGAAGGAUGACUGCCCUAUGGGUUGUAAACUUCUUUUAUAUGGGAAUAAAACGUUCCACGUGUGGGAUUUUGUAUGUACCAUAUGAAUAAGGAUCGGCUAACUCCGUGCCAGCAGCCGCGGUAAUACGGAGGAUCCGAGCGUUAUCCGGAUUUAUUGGGUUUAAAGGGAGCGUAGGUGGAUUGUUAAGUCAGUUGUGAAAGUUUGCGGCUCGACCGUAAAAUUGCAGUUGAUACUGGCAGUCUUGAGUACAGUAGAGGUGGGCGGAAUUCGUGGUGUAGCGGUGAAAUGCUUAGAUAUCACGAAGAACUCCGAUUGCGAAGGCAGUUCACUGGACUGCAACUGACACUGAGGCUCGAAAGUGUGGGUAUCAAACAGGAUUAGAUACCCCAGUAGUC
RNAcentral lists this ribosomal RNA (460 nucleotides) under uncultured bacterium. RNAcentral describes it as "partial 16S ribosomal RNA". It matches the Rfam family "Bacterial small subunit ribosomal RNA", at positions 338 to 795 of the family's 1533-position model. The record is from RNAcentral.